GGUGCUCAGGAGCCGGGGGCGGGAACAGGCCUAGAAGGGCCGGUCUGAGCAGCAGGGGGGACGGACACCGGGUCAGCACCAACCUUCGCGAUGCUGGCAACAGGCGGAAACAAAAGCAAACCCAGGGGAUAAACCCGUGGCUUCUUUUUCUUUCUUUCUUUUUUUUAAAUGAUUUUAUUUAUUUGAGAGAGAGAGAGAGAGAGAGCAAGGGGAGGGACGGGGUAGGUGAGAGGCAGACGCCCUGCGGAGAGGGAGCCUGAUGCAGGACUCGAUCCCAGGACCCCCGAGAUCACGACCUGAGCAGAAGGCAGGCGCUUUGCCGACAGAGCCCCCCAGGCCCCCACACCAUGUUUUUCUUUUUUUAAUGUUUCUCAGUGGGUUGAGCAUGUGACUUGAUUUCGGCUCCGGUCAUGAUCUCAGGGUCGUGAGGUCGAGUCCCCACGUUGGGUUCCAUGUGGGCUCCACACCGAGCAUGGAGCUUGCUGGAGACUCUCCCCUUACUGCUCCCCACCCCCCUGCAUCUAGCUCUCUUAAAUAAAUAAAUAAAUAAAUAAAUAAAUAAAUAAAUAAUAAAGAUAAUAAAUGUUUCCUUUUUUUUAGGCAAGAAUGAGGCAUUUCUGCUCCUUUCUGGUGUGGACUGUGGGGUGUCCUGCAUGGCUAGUCCUGUGGGUUGGGCAGCGCGGUGGGGAAGGGCUGUGAGCGACCAGGACCUCGCGGCCCCGUGGCCUGUUCACGCAGAGCCUGGACCAAGCCCGGGACAGCGGGCCCUGUGCCUCAGUUGCCCCAUCCACCCGGAGCUACCUGGCCACAGCUCUGGGUGACACUCCCGGUGAAACCACGGUGAUCCCCGAUGACCUACUGUUUCCUGAGCACGCAAGCAAGUGGACUCUGAGUCAUGCCGGGGUCACCAUGCCCUCGGUUUCGUGAAAGGCCUGCAGCCAUCGUGCGGGGACCGUGCGGGGACCGUGGCCAGCCCCACCCUCUCCUCCGCAGGGCAGGUGCCGGCCACGCUCCCACCCUCCGCGGACAAGCCCACGGCCAGGCCUCGUCGUGGUGCGGGAAAGCUCUGGGGUUGGUCUGCGACUCGGCCUCUGCGCCUGGAGGAGCCCAGGCCCCUGAGGUACGACGGAGCCCGUGUGUAACGUUACGUGAAGUACGAAAUAUUAAUCUCCACAAGAUGUUCUAUUUAAUCCAAAGAGCCGCAAGGUCUCACGCCCACGCGGCAUCUGACGAGACCCUCUCCUCUUCUGCGUCUUCAGACUCCCGCGUGUGGCACCGCGCAGCACGCCGCGCCUCACCCACUAAGGUGUUACCAGGAAUCGUUGACUGGACUUAAACCCCAUAAAGUUCACAGUCCAAAGAGGACGUUCACGCACCUAACUUAGUCCAAACAUCCUUAAAAGUCUUCAGUAACCGAACAAAGUGUC
This 1427-nucleotide long non-coding RNA is filed under the name Canis lupus dingo (dingo). Its description in RNAcentral is "lncRNA (ENSCAFG00020000945.1)". Lineage: Eukaryota; Metazoa; Chordata; Mammalia; Carnivora; Canidae. The record is from RNAcentral.